UUUAUUUUGAUUUGCACUUUGGCUAGGUUCCUCAAUGAAACGGAGGGAAAAUUAGAUUUAGCCAGUCGGGCAUCUCAUCAAUGACGAAAUUUAAGCAGAUGGCAGAGGAGGGCGGAUCAUCUCACAGCUGCAUGCAAGCUUGACACGCCAUGGGUGGUGGGAUUCCACUAAAAAUGCACUCGUGAUGAUGUGGCAACAUUCCAGCCCUAGCAUGGAUGCAUGGUCUAAUUAAAGGAGUUGGGCAAUUCGAGGAAGGGUUGCUAUUGUGCACCAUUGUCGAAUCUCUGCUACAAGGUUGAGUAGUUCAACCCAAAAGUUCUUAAGAGGAAAGGAGUAACCAACCAUCGUUAGAUAUCCUUUGGAAACAUAAUUUGCAAAAUGCAUAAGAUGCAAUCAACCAUUUUAGAUGUUUAUUGGGAUAAAGGAGGAUUCUUAUUAUUAGUGGGCCGAGAAUUAGGGUAAAAGCUUCGUAAAGCUUAUACGCUGAGAAUUAUUCUUAUGUUCUAAAAAUUCUUUCUAUAUUUUUGCAAUAUAUUUGAAAUCAAAUUCAUUGUUGGAU
Malania oleifera is the source of this 559-nucleotide long non-coding RNA. RefSeq lists it as uncharacterized. The record is from RefSeq and is a predicted model, not a curated record. Lineage: Eukaryota; Viridiplantae; Streptophyta; Magnoliopsida; Santalales; Ximeniaceae. The transcript has 2 exons.